This 253-nucleotide ribosomal RNA is filed under the name uncultured bacterium. Its description in RNAcentral is "partial 16S ribosomal RNA". It matches the Rfam family "Bacterial small subunit ribosomal RNA", at positions 524 to 776 of the family's 1533-position model. The record is from RNAcentral.
UACGGGGGGGGCAAGCGUUGUUCGGAAUUACUGGGCGUAAAGGGCUCGUAGGUGGCCAACUAAGUCAGACGUGAAAUCCCUCGGCUUAACCGGGGAACUGCGUCUGAUACUGGAUGGCUUGAGUUCGGGAGAGGGAUGCGGAAUUCCAGGUGUAGCGGUGAAAUGCGUAGAUAUCUGGAGGAACACCGGUGGCGAAGGCGGCAUCCUGGACCGAGACUGACACUGAGGAGCGAAAGCCAGGGGAGCAAACGGG